Molecule: transfer RNA, 82 nt
Filed under: Aestuariibacter sp.
Lineage: Bacteria; Pseudomonadati; Pseudomonadota; Gammaproteobacteria; Alteromonadales; Alteromonadaceae
Description: tRNA-Ser
Rfam family: tRNA
About the family: Transfer RNA (tRNA) molecules are approximately 80 nucleotides in length. Their secondary structure includes four short double-helical elements and three loops (D, anti-codon, and T loops).
Source: RNAcentral
GCUGUGAUGGCCGAGAGGUUAAGGCGUGGGACUUGAAAUCCAAUGGGAUCUUCCCGCGCAGGUUCGAACCCUGCUCGCAGCG